This 381-nucleotide unclassified non-coding RNA is filed under the name uncultured Alphaproteobacteria bacterium. Its description in RNAcentral is "contains 16S-23S intergenic spacer region". The record is from RNAcentral. Lineage: Bacteria; Pseudomonadati; Pseudomonadota; Alphaproteobacteria.
UCCGGCUUGUCACCGGCGGUCUCGUCAGAGUUCCCAGCAUUACCUGUUGGCAACAGACGACAAGGGUUGCGCUCGUUGCGGGACUUAACCCAACAUCUCACGACACGAGCUGACGACAGCCAUGCACCACCUGUCACUGGUCCAGCCGAACUGAAAGAGGGCGUCUCUGCCCCCCGCGACCAGGAUGUCAAGGGGUGGUAAGGUUCUUCGCGUUGCGUCGAAUUAAACAACAUGCUCCACCGCUUGUGCGGGUCCCCGUCAAUUCCUUUGAGUUUUAACCUUGCGGCCGUAUUCCCCAGGCGGUGUGCUUAAUGCUUUCGCUGCGUCACCGAAGCCUUAAGGCUCCAACAACUAGCACACAUCGUUUACGGCGUGGACUAC